GAUGAAGAACGUAGCGAAAUGCGAUACUUGGUGUGAAUUGCAGAAUCCCGUGAACCAUCGAGUCUUUGAACGCAAGUUGCGCCUCAAGCCAUUAGGUUGAGGGCACGUCUGCCUGGGCGUCACAUAUCGUUGCCUGAUGCCAGUUUCCUCGUGAUGGGUGACUGUGCAGGGCGAAUGAUGGCUUCCCGUGAGCAUUGUUGCCUCAUGGUUGGUUGAAAAUUGAGUCCUUGGUAGGGAGCGCCGUGAUAGAUGGUGGUUGAGUGACGAACGAGACCCAAUCAUGUGAGACCCCUACCGAAUUUGGCCUUCAUGACCCACAUGCGUCUUUGGAACGCUCAUGACGAGACCUCAGGUCAGGCGGGGCUACCCGCUGAGCUUAAGCAUAUCAAUAAGCGGAGGA
Molecule: unclassified non-coding RNA, 400 nt
Filed under: soil metagenome
Description: partial contains 5.8S ribosomal RNA, internal transcribed spacer 2, and large subunit ribosomal RNA
Rfam family: 5.8S ribosomal RNA (bases 1-122)
Source: RNAcentral